RNA transcript from Xenia sp. Carnegie-2017, 427 nucleotides. RefSeq lists it as uncharacterized. NCBI's taxonomy places the organism in Eukaryota, Metazoa, Cnidaria, Anthozoa, Malacalcyonacea, Xeniidae. The transcript has 4 exons. The record is from RefSeq and is a predicted model, not a curated record.
AAACGUUCUCGGAUCGAAUUUCCAAAACUGAGGCAAUCCAACGGCAUUUGGAUAGGAAACAACUAUCUUCAACACCAUUGUUUCCCACAUAUCAACAGCAAGAUGUACUGCAAGCAAAAGGUUUAGACAAAGAAAAACAAGCUGCUUCAACAGGUCCUUCAGAUCCAAAAAAAACGCGCUUAUGCAAAAAUUGUGGACAGCCAAUGAAAGGACAUCCAAAAGUCAUUGUCCACAAGAAUUACUUGACAAAUAUUCUUAGCAGGCCAACUUUAAAAUAUUGACGAAUGUAACGCUCUCAUCGAUCAACAAUGUACGGGAACUGGCCAAACCUGAGCUAUUUUCCCUGGCGCUUUUUGUUGUAGCUGCAGUAAUCCAGGCAACAUUUGAACGAAGCAGGAACACAAUGUGUCGGUCGCAAUAUGGGAAA